AUUGAACGCUGGCGGCAGGCCUAACACAUGCAAGUCGAGCGGAUGAAGGGAGCUUGCUCCUGGAUUCAGCGGCGGACGGGUGAGUAAUGCCUAGGAAUCUGCCUGGUAGUGGGGGAUAACGUCCGGAAACGGGCGCUAAUACCGCAUACGUCCUGAGGGAGAAAGUGGGGGAUCUUCGGACCUCACGCUAUCAGAUGAGCCUAGGUCGGAUUAGCUAGUUGGUGGGGUAAAGGCCUACCAAGGCGACGAUCCGUAACUGGUCUGAGAGGAUGAUCAGUCACACGGGAAAUGAAAACCGGUCCAGACCCCUACGGGGGGCAGGAGGGGGGAAUAAUGGAAAAUGGGCGAAAGCCUGAUCCAGCCAUGGCGGGUGGUGGGAGAAGGUCUUCGGAUUUUAAAGCACUUUAAGUUGGGAGGAAGGGCAGUAAGUUAAUACCUUGGUGUUUUGACGUUACCAAAAAAAAAAGCCCCGGCUAACUUCG
RNAcentral lists this ribosomal RNA (482 nucleotides) under uncultured bacterium. RNAcentral describes it as "partial 16S ribosomal RNA". It matches the Rfam family "Bacterial small subunit ribosomal RNA", at positions 30 to 505 of the family's 1533-position model. The record is from RNAcentral.